This is a long non-coding RNA of Carlito syrichta (Philippine tarsier), 485 nucleotides long. RefSeq lists it as uncharacterized. The record is from RefSeq and is a predicted model, not a curated record. The transcript has 3 exons. Lineage: Eukaryota; Metazoa; Chordata; Mammalia; Primates; Tarsiidae.
GCAGGGCCGUGGCCUGGCGUCGCCGGUCACGCGGAGACCGAAAGCACAGCCAGGACCUCGUCCGCAUCCCAGGGACACGAAGCACGUGAAUAAAACGCAGGCGUGCUCCAGUCCUCGCUUGGCAUGUGCUGAAGAGACAGCCACAGACCCAGCCAGGCUGCCCUGCCGGUGGGGCGGCCGCUCUCUGUCAUUUCAAGAAACUCGCUUUCGUUUUCCGGCCUGAAGAGCAAACUGAGGCAAGGUGGGCCGGUACCUUGGGAAUAAUGGACGAUCACAACAAAGCACAAAGAAGGAAAGUUUAUUCUUCCCCUUUGACAGGCGGAAAGGGGCCUGCACGCAGCCGUUGCAUAAUUCUUGGUUCUUGACAUCUCGGGGCACCAGCAUCUCAUGUCUUCCGGUGGCCGCACGAUAACCGUGUAUCUGGCUGGGCUUGGCGGCUCAGCCUGUCAUCCCAGCACUCUGGGAGGCCCAGGCGAGAGGACUGC